GACGUAGGGGACGAGCGUUGUCCGGAUUCAUUGGGCGUAAAGCGCGCGUAGGCGGUUUGGUAAGUCGGGUGUGAAAUCUCGGGGCUUAACUCCGAAACUGCAUUCGAUACUGCCGUGCUUGAGGACUGGAGAGGAGACUGGAAUUUACGGUGUAGCGGUGAAAUGCGUAGAUAUCGUGAGGAAGACCAGUGGCGAAGGCGGGUCUCUGGACAGUUCCUGACGCUGAGGCACGAAGGCCAGGGGAGCAAACGGG
RNAcentral lists this ribosomal RNA (253 nucleotides) under uncultured bacterium. Its description in RNAcentral is "partial 16S ribosomal RNA". It matches the Rfam family "Bacterial small subunit ribosomal RNA", at positions 524 to 776 of the family's 1533-position model. The record is from RNAcentral.